RNAcentral lists this long non-coding RNA (237 nucleotides) under Lupinus angustifolius (narrow-leaved blue lupine). Its description in RNAcentral is "long non-coding RNA (LANG_LNC003333)". Lineage: Eukaryota; Viridiplantae; Streptophyta; Magnoliopsida; Fabales; Fabaceae. The record is from RNAcentral.
CUGGUUUGACUUCUACCCUUUCGCCUCUUGAGAAAACCUUUCUCGCGAACAAGCCCCAGCCAAGAAUCUUAUCUCAAGAGGCAAUAUUUAAGCGCGCAAUAAGGAUAACACGUAGGGAGAAUCAUAUGUGUGACCAGUGGGAGAUUGUUAGAAUUUCUGACAAUUUAUGGGUCACAAAUAUAAUUCUAUAAUUGUGUUAUGGCCAUUAUGUAAUUAGCCAAAAUAUAAAAUGAUCUU